UACGUGGGGCGCAAGCGUUGUCCGGAAUUAUUGGGCGUAAAGAGCUCGUAGGCGGUUUGUCGCGUCUGGUGUGAAAACUCAAGGCUCAACCUUGAGCUUGCAUCGGGUACGGGCAGACUAGAGUGCGGUAGGGGUGACUGGAAUUCCUGGUGUAGCGGUGGAAUGCGCAGAUAUCAGGAGGAACACCGAUGGCGAAGGCAGGUCACUGGGCCGCAACUGACGCUGAGGAGCGAAAGCAUGGGGAGCGAACAGG
This 253-nucleotide ribosomal RNA is filed under the name uncultured bacterium. RNAcentral's name for it is "partial 16S ribosomal RNA". It matches the Rfam family "Bacterial small subunit ribosomal RNA", at positions 524 to 776 of the family's 1533-position model. The record is from RNAcentral.